RNAcentral lists this transfer RNA (85 nucleotides) under Felis catus (domestic cat). It matches the Rfam family "tRNA". From Rfam's summary of the family: Transfer RNA (tRNA) molecules are approximately 80 nucleotides in length. Their secondary structure includes four short double-helical elements and three loops (D, anti-codon, and T loops). The record is from Rfam by way of RNAcentral. Lineage: Eukaryota; Metazoa; Chordata; Mammalia; Carnivora; Felidae.
GCCUAGGUGGCUCAGUCGGUUAAGCGUCUGACUUUGGCUCAGGUCAUGAUCUCACGGUUUGUGGGUUUGAGCCCCGCGUUGGGCU